This 200-nucleotide unclassified non-coding RNA is filed under the name soil metagenome. RNAcentral describes it as "partial contains internal transcribed spacer 2 and large subunit ribosomal RNA". The record is from RNAcentral.
UCACUAAUCAAGCCCGGCUUGCUGUUGGACCUCUUGUCGUUAUUAGACAGGUCCUAAAGAUACGACGGCGUCAGUUGGACCCUAGAUGCAACGAGCUUUAACUAGCACGCAUUUUAGUUGGCCCUUUUUGACCCGGUCUUUUUUAUAACCAUUUUUCUAAGGUUGACCUCGGAUCAGGUAGGAAUACCCGCUGAACUUAA